RNAcentral lists this ribosomal RNA (560 nucleotides) under uncultured eukaryote. Its description in RNAcentral is "bacterial SSU rRNA". It matches the Rfam family "Eukaryotic small subunit ribosomal RNA", at positions 35 to 565 of the family's 1831-position model. The record is from RNAcentral.
UUUCAAGAACCAAGCCAUGCAUGUCUCAGAGUAAAUGGAGCACAGUAGGUCUGUGUACGGCUCAUUAUAUCAGCUACAAUCUGACCCGCGAAGCGGGAUGGCUUCCCAUCCCCCCACUCGGAUAACCUGAUGGAAUCCGGAGGCCAAGACGUGGAAGAGCAACCUUUCCUCCACCUCAACACCAAAGGGAAACCAGCGGUGCGGAGGAUGGGUGCAUCCGACCGACACAAAAGCCAACGCCCACUGGGCAGCGUGUAUUGAUGACUCAGGUUGCUGGCCCGUCGCCGGUAGAAUUUCUGCCCUAUCAGCUCCCGAUGGUAGUGUCGUGGACUACCAUGGCGGUCACGGGUAACGGAGUAUUGGGGUACGAUUCCGGAGAGGUGGCCUGAGAGACGGCCGCCACAUCCAAGGAAGGCAGCAGGCGCGCAAAUUGCCCACUAACAACACUGUUGAGGCANCGNCGAGAAAUAACAACAGCGUGCGGUCCUACGAUCCAUGCAGAUCGUAAUGGACGAUACCCAAACCCAUCGGUGAGUAUCUAUCUGGAGGGCAAGUCUGGU